CUGGGCUCUCUGUGAGUGAGAGACGCUUGGCAGCAGGGAGCUGGAGAGAAGCCCCCAGCAACUUUGGACAGAGUCGCUCGUGGAACAGACUGGCUCAUCCUGGGAAGCCCUUUAAAGAGCCUCAGAUUACAUGGAUUAGGUGAAGCCCAACCAGAAGCUGAACUAUGGUUGUGAGGAUUACCCCAAGCUUCUUCACUUCAAGUCAGUUUCCCUCCUGUGCGCGGCCAGGAGAACACAGAAACCAGACUCCCCUUGUGCAUAUCCUUCCUCAGCCUCAUUGCCCAUGCUGCCCACAGAAGUGAGUUAAAAACAAACCCUGAACCUACAAAUGCUCAGCAUGGAGGGAUCCCUGCACCUAUGAGGAGACCUACUGACGUCAAUGUAAUUUCACACAGGUGCUGGAUGCAGGAUACAAGACUUCAUGGGCCAAUGCUCUGAUGUGGAAGCAAGAAAGACUGACUGGAGAGGAUAAAAAAUGAACUGAAAUUGCAAGGGAAAUUUUUCAGCAUGCUCUUGUAAGCUGGAUGACAAUGUUUGGUUAACUUGAACAAAAACACCAUGUUUAAGAUCCUAGCUUCCAUAUGCACUCAUAAAAACUACAUAUUGCACAGGCAGAAACCUGGAACACCUGUGACUUUAAAGAUCACUCUGGAAGACAUGAACAUGUUUGCGGUUGCAAUGAAUUUGGUAAUAAUUAGAUGUGCCAGGGAACUUUUUAGUGCCUUUUUAGGAAACUACAA
Long non-coding RNA from Chelonia mydas (Green sea turtle), 740 nucleotides. RefSeq lists it as uncharacterized. The record is from RefSeq and is a predicted model, not a curated record. The transcript has 6 exons. Lineage: Eukaryota; Metazoa; Chordata; Testudines; Cheloniidae.